This 1411-nucleotide long non-coding RNA is filed under the name Phasianus colchicus (ring-necked pheasant). Its description in RNAcentral is "lncRNA (ENSPCLG00000006669.1)". Lineage: Eukaryota; Metazoa; Chordata; Aves; Galliformes; Phasianidae. The record is from RNAcentral.
UUAUGGCACAUCAGCCAAAAUUUCCACAUACACUUCCUUGUACCUCAGCCUUUCAGAAUAAGAAUCUGUACUCCUAAUGCCCCCAAAUCCAGUAAUUUUUAGACCAUUUAUUGGAAAAAAAAAAAAAAAAAAAAAAAAAAAAGAACAACCAAUGAACACUAAACUAACAAAAAUGAACACAACCACAGAACAAAGGCUAAUCUCAUAAGGAAGACCUGAUUGCUGAUCAGAAAAACACUGUAGGAAACUGAACUUCCACUGCUUGUUCCAGAUUAGUGUAUGCACAUAGCUUUUAUUGCAGCACAAAAAUUGUAAUUAAGGACCCAUGCCCUACCUGCGAAUCAUGGGGAGACAGCUUCCCUAAAUAUUCACUAUGGAAAAGGAGUUGUUGGGCACUUAGUACAUGCCACUCUUUUUUACCAAGGAACAAUUGUUCAGUGUUGAUGCUGGACUUUCUGGAAGUAUCUUAUCUUCUUUAAAGAACACAAUGAUUAUGUUUGGGGAACUUAUUUAUUUCAGUCCCACUGGCAUUUAGACUAAAUGAUCUUGGUGGUCUUUUCCAACCUUAAUGAUUCUAUGAUUCUACAAUUUUACUAAAGAGGGCUGCUUUGUAUACUCAGUUCAGAGACUUUCAGGCAGACUGCUUUGCUGACUGCAGUCUUUUUCCCUCUUUUCAUGCAUCCUGCAGGACAUCUACAGAACUCUCAGUGACCACAGCAAGAGUGAGAUGUCUCUGGUUGGCAGAUCUGCUAGUUCACUUAACCCCUCUGAGCUGCUGCAAUGUGUGAUCAUUUUGAAGACUGACAGCCCUGUAGUGUCAUUAGCCAUUACCUCACCUGCACAACUACAGUGUCUGAUUCCUGCACUGAUUUUUCAACCAUAAAUACAGCUGCUAGAUUUGGGCUUUGGGAAAAUUCAGAACUUGGAUCAGAACUUUUUGUUUUCUGAAUGUAGUUGAUAGAAAACUGGGAAAAAAUAGUAUAGCUUUUAUAAGGAUGACUUUCUUCAUUACAGCUUUCUGCACUUUGCUUUGCACUUACAUAGUAGUCAGUCUAUCUGAAAGACUGCAAAAGGAAUGGUUUAAAAAUGGUUUUAAAGCAAUAAUUGUGCAUUAUUAAUUUGAAAUCGAUUGUCAUUCAGAACUCUUAACUAAAUUCCCUUUCUGUGCCAUGUGAUGACAUCAUGUGCCUGAAUAAUUUUAGAAUCUGGAUGAUCUGGUGCCAGAGAUCUGCUAAAGAUCAAUUUUUAAAUACCUAAGUGGUUUUCAAUCUGGACACUCCUGAUUUCCAGUUUUCUUCCCUUCUCUUCCUCUCCUUUCAGUUGCACUGUAUUAACAUUUGGGUUCAGCUCCAUACUAGAUUUUAAAUCUCAUUUAGUUUUUCUUUUGUCCAGUCACUUCCAUCUAAGUUCC